Molecule: small RNA, 228 nt
Filed under: Bacillus sonorensis
Lineage: Bacteria; Bacillati; Bacillota; Bacilli; Caryophanales; Bacillaceae
Description: BsrG
Rfam family: BsrG
About the family: bsrE, bsrG and bsrH pair through intermolecular interactions with antisense sRNAs. SR4 interaction with the 3'UTR of bsrG RNA promotes bsrG degradation and inhibits its translation.
Source: RNAcentral
AAGUUUCGGCUCACUCAAGGGAAGUCUUGCUCAUCCCCUAUGAAAGGGGAUGAUGCUGAUGACAACAUUCGAAACAACCCCUUUAAUGAUUGCUUUCGGCAUGUUAAUUGCCGUGUUGUCAAAGAAAGAAAAAUAGACCUCCCUUGAGCCUGGAAAACUUAAAGGGAUAGGUCUAUUUUAAAAACGCCUUUUCUGAGCAAGCCCCUUAGUGGGCUGCUUUUUGUACAU